Molecule: ribosomal RNA, 253 nt
Filed under: uncultured bacterium
Lineage: Bacteria
Description: partial 16S ribosomal RNA
Rfam family: Bacterial small subunit ribosomal RNA
Source: RNAcentral
UACGUAGGGUGCGAGCGUUGUCCGGAUUUAUUGGGCGUAAAGGGCGCGUAGGCGCCCGUCAAGUCCGCUGUGAAAGCCCGAGGCUCAACCUCGGAGGGUCAGCGGAGACGGGCGGGCUGGGGUGUCGGAGAGGAGCAUGGAAUCCCUGGUGUAGCGGUGGAAUGCGUAGAGAUCAGGGGGGAACACCGAUGGCGAAGGCAGUGCUCUGGCCGACCACCGACGCUGAGGCGCGAAAGCUGGGGGAGCGAACGGG